RNAcentral lists this ribosomal RNA (748 nucleotides) under uncultured bacterium. Its description in RNAcentral is "bacterial SSU rRNA". It matches the Rfam family "Bacterial small subunit ribosomal RNA", at positions 28 to 774 of the family's 1533-position model. The record is from RNAcentral.
GAUGAACGCUGGCGGCGUGCUUAACACAUGCAAGUCGAACGAAGCAGUUUAUUACGAUCCCUUCGGGGUGACGAUUUACUGACUGAGUGGCGGACGGGUGAGUAACGCGUGGGUAACCUGCCUUGUACAGGGGGACAACAGUUGGAAACGACUGCUAAUACCGCAUAAGCGCACGGUGUUGCAUGACACAGUGUGAAAAGAUUUAUCGGUACAAGAUGGACCCGCGUCUGAUUAGCUAGUUGGUGAGGUAACGGCCCACCAAGGCGACGAUCAGUAGCCGACCUGAGAGGGUGACCGGCCACAUUGGGACUGAGACACGGCCCAAACUCCUACGGGAGGCAGCAGUGGGGAAUAUUGGCACAAUGGGCGCAAGCCUGAUGCAGCGACGCCGCGUGAGCGAAGAAGUAUUUCGGUAUGUAAAGCUCUAUCAGCAGGGAAGAUAAUGACGGUACCUGACUAAGAAGCACCGGCUAAAUACGUGCCAGCAGCCGCGGUAAUACGUAUGGUGCAAGCGUUAUCCGGAUUUACUGGGUGUAAAGGGAGCGUAGGCGGUUUUACAAGUCUGAUGUGAAAGCCCGGGGCUCAACUCCGGUAUUGCAUUGGAAACUGUAGAACUAGAGUGUCGGAGGGGUAAGUGGAAUUCCUAGUGUAGCGGUGAAAUGCGUAGAUAUUAGGAGGAACAUCGGUGGCGAAGGCGGCUUACUGGACAGCAACUGACGUUGAGGCUCGAAGGCGUGGGGAGCAAACA